Molecule: ribosomal RNA, 406 nt
Filed under: uncultured bacterium
Lineage: Bacteria
Description: partial 16S ribosomal RNA
Rfam family: Bacterial small subunit ribosomal RNA
Source: RNAcentral
AUUGAACGCUGGCGGCAGGCCUAACACAUGCAAGUCGAGCGAGCGGCGGACGGGUGAGUAAUGUCUGUGAAACUGCCUGAUGGAGGGGGAUAACUACAGGAAACGAUAGCUAAUACCGCAUACCAUCAGAUGUGCCCAGAUGGGAUUAGCUAGGAGUUGGGGUAACGGCUCACCUAGGCGACGAUCCCUAGCUGGUCUGAGAGGAUGACCAGCCACACUGGAACGGAGAAACGGUCCAGACUCCUACGGGAGGCAGCAGUGGGGAAUAUUGCACAAUGGGCGCAAGCCUGAUGCAGCCAUGCCGCGUGUGUGAAGAAGGCCUUCGGGUUGUAAAGCACUUUCAGCGGGGAGGCGUUACCCGCAGAAGAAGCACCGGCUAACUCCGUGCCAGCAGCCGCGGUAAUUC